Molecule: ribosomal RNA, 430 nt
Filed under: Pseudomonadota bacterium
Lineage: Bacteria; Pseudomonadati; Pseudomonadota
Description: Proteobacteria bacterium partial 16S ribosomal RNA
Rfam family: Bacterial small subunit ribosomal RNA
Source: RNAcentral
UGGGGAAUAUUGGACAGUGGGGGGAACCCUGAUCCAGCCAUGCCGCGUGUGUGAAGAAGGCCUUAUGGUUGUAAAGCACUUUAAGCGAGGAGGAGGGUACUGGUAUUAAUACUACCAGGUACUGGACGUUACUCGCAGAAUAAGCACCGGCUAACUCUGUGCCAGCAGCCGCGGUAAUACAGAGGGUGCGAGCGUUAAUCGGAUUUACUGGGCGUAAAGCGUGCGUAGGCGGCUAAUUGAGUCGGAUGUGAAAUCCCCGAGCUUAACUUGGGAAUUGCAUUCGAUACUGGUUAGCUAGAGUGUGGGAGAGGAUGGUAGAAUUCCAGGUGUAGCGGUGAAAUGCGUAGAGAUCUGGAGGAAUACCGAUGGCGAAGGCAGCCAUCUGGCCUAACACUGACGCUGAGGUACGAAAGCAUGGGGAGCAAACAGG